CAACUACUCCCUCCGUCCGAGAAUACUUGUCAUAGAAAUGGAUACAAAUGGAUGUAUCUAGAACUAAAAUACAUCUAGAUACAUCCAUUCCUCGGACAAGUAUUUCCGGACGGAGGGAGUACAUG
This is a non-coding RNA of Triticum aestivum (bread wheat), 125 nucleotides long. The record is from Rfam. NCBI's taxonomy places the organism in Eukaryota, Viridiplantae, Streptophyta, Magnoliopsida, Poales, Poaceae.